AAUUGAAAUAAAGGAGAGGAUUAUCAGUAACUCUUAAGAGGGUAAAUCAUCCGCAAUGUUGGAAAAUAUGUUGAUUGUUCACACUCAGCGGUGCUCUAAACUCUGGACCAAUACGAACAACAUGGGAAGGUUGUUAAAGGCAAACAUACGGUAGACCAAGGAAGACAUCAAAGCAUCAAGAUAGAAACUUAAAAGCAAUAUGUCUCAAA
Thalassophryne amazonica is the source of this 209-nucleotide long non-coding RNA. RefSeq lists it as uncharacterized. The transcript has 4 exons. NCBI's taxonomy places the organism in Eukaryota, Metazoa, Chordata, Actinopteri, Batrachoidiformes, Batrachoididae. The record is from RefSeq and is a predicted model, not a curated record.